GCCGAACGCUGGCGGCGUGCUUAACACAUGCAAGUCGAACGAAGUGGCGAAUGGGUGAGUAAUACGUGAGUAACCUGCCUUCCCUUUUGGGCUAAGCCUUGGAAACGGGGUCUAAUACCGAAUAAAGGGGGAUGGGCUCGCGGCCUAUCAGCUUGUUGGUGGGGUGAUGGCCUACAAAGGCGGUGACGGGUAGCCAGCAUGAGCGGGUGCACGGCCAAAGUGGUACUUAUAUGCGGCCCAGACUCCGACGGGAGGAAGCAUUGUAGGAUAUUGCCCAAUGGGCGACAUGCUAAUGCAGCGACGCCGCGUGGGGGAUUAAGGCUUUCGGGUUGUAAACCUCUUUCGCUAUCGAACGGGUGAGUGGAUCAGAAACGCCGGAUAACUACGUGCCAGCAGCCACGGUAAUAC
Molecule: ribosomal RNA, 408 nt
Filed under: uncultured bacterium
Lineage: Bacteria
Description: partial 16S ribosomal RNA
Rfam family: Bacterial small subunit ribosomal RNA
Source: RNAcentral